ACCUUUUUAUCAGCACAACUUUACAUGUCGCCAAUUCCGUGUUGGGAUGGCAGUAAAUUAGUGACUAUAGACACCAAUCUCAGAAACGACAGAAGUCGCCAUGCCAAUUUCAUGGGUUUGAUUCGAGCAACUUCGACUUCGUUCAAAUUGUUAAACUAAUAUGGCUAUAAUUUCAAUUUGACAAUUGACAUAGUGUGUCUUGUAUAUCCUAUGGUUAUAUGACAGCAUUAAAGCCCAGAAACUUGUCAAACAUCAAAGCAACAACCACCAACUAGAGUUACUAGACCAUCCAAAAACACCCGUGCAUUAUUUAAUC
Molecule: non-coding RNA, 316 nt
Organism: Paramuricea clavata
Lineage: Eukaryota; Metazoa; Cnidaria; Anthozoa; Malacalcyonacea; Plexauridae
Source: the annotation of a GenBank genome assembly